Molecule: ribosomal RNA, 398 nt
Filed under: uncultured bacterium
Lineage: Bacteria
Description: bacterial SSU rRNA
Rfam family: Bacterial small subunit ribosomal RNA
Source: RNAcentral
AAUCAACGCUGGCGGCGUGCCUAACACAUGCAAGUCGAGCGCGAAAGGGGAGUAAUCCCCAAGUAGAGCGGCGAACGGGUGAGUAACGCGUGGGUGAUCUACCUCCGAGUGGGGAAUAACCCCGGGAAACUGGGGCUAAUACCGCAUGACAUCCCUGAGUCACAUCGGGGAUCAAAGCCGGGGACCGCAAGGCCUGGCGUUUGGAGAUGAGCCCGCGUCCGAUUAGCUAGUUGGCGGGGUAACGGCCCACCAAGGCUUCGAUCGGUAGCCGGCCUGAGAGGGCGGACGGCCACACUGGGACUGAGACACGGCCCAGACUCCUACGGGAGGCAGCAGUGGGGAAUUUUUCGCAAUGGGGGAAACCCUGACGAAGCAACGCCGCGUGGAGGAUGAAGGCC